UGCAGCGAAGUGCGAAACGCGAUGCCAAGUUGCAGUGCUUGGGAAAGGCUGUCUUGGUCAUGAACGUGUUUAUGGCGGUGUGCACUGUGUUGGGCAUGUUUGUG
Molecule: ribosomal RNA, 104 nt
Filed under: Pseudo-nitzschia fraudulenta
Lineage: Eukaryota; Bacillariophyta; Bacillariophyceae; Bacillariales; Bacillariaceae
Description: partial 5.8S ribosomal RNA
Source: RNAcentral